AGCAAUACGGGAGUGGCGCACGGGUGAGUAACACGUGGGAAUAUGCCCAGCAGUGGGGGAUAACCGAGGGAAACUUCGGCUAAUACCGCAUACGCCCCUAGGGGGAAAGAUUUAUCGCUGUUGGAUUAGCCCGCGUCCGAUUAGCUAGUUGGUGUGGUAACGGCGCACCAAGGCGACGAUCGGUAGCUGGUCUGAGAGGAUGAUCAGCCACACUGGGACUGAGACACGGCCCAGACUCCUACGGGAGGCAGCAGUGGGGAAUAUUGGACAAUGGGGGCAACCCUGAUCCAGCCAUGCCGCGUGAGUGAAGAAGGCCUUAGGGUUGUAAAGCUCUUUCGGCGGGGACGAUGAUGACGGUACCCGCAGAAGAAGCCCCGGCUAACUCCGUGCCAGCAGCCGCGGUAAUACGGAGGGGGCUAGCGUUGUUCGGAAUUACUAGGCGUAAAGCGCGCGCAGGCGGCUAUUCUAG
Molecule: ribosomal RNA, 469 nt
Filed under: uncultured Magnetospirillum sp.
Lineage: Bacteria; Pseudomonadati; Pseudomonadota; Alphaproteobacteria; Rhodospirillales; Rhodospirillaceae
Description: bacterial SSU rRNA
Rfam family: Bacterial small subunit ribosomal RNA
Source: RNAcentral